This is a long non-coding RNA of Boleophthalmus pectinirostris (great blue-spotted mudskipper), 239 nucleotides long. RefSeq lists it as uncharacterized. The transcript has 3 exons. The record is from RefSeq and is a predicted model, not a curated record. Lineage: Eukaryota; Metazoa; Chordata; Actinopteri; Gobiiformes; Gobiidae.
CCUUCACUCCAGCCCCUGCAUUUGGAAACCCCUUUUCCAAUACCAGCUCCUCUCCUCUAAAUCCUUCUCGGUCUUUUUGCAGUAUUUCACCCACUCAUUUGGAGCCGGCUGCUUUGGGGAUUAACUUGGACAUUUCAUUGUCUUUGAUGCUGUUUGCAGUACUUUGGCCCAUGCUGUGACAGAUCAAGCAGUUGUGAAGCACUGCAAGACGAAAAGAAGACAUGCAAACUUCAUCCAGC